CAGCCACAAAAGGAUCUAUCAUCUGCUCAGAUAUUUUUCCCACCUGAUAAUUUUUUGUCAAUCUCUUCUACAAACAGUUUGUCCAUUUAUGAACUAUAAGAAGGAUUCAGUAUGUGUCAUCAUUUUCAUAAAAGGAAGGAAAUCAGCAAAGUAGCCCAACUCUCUGGGGAAGAUGCAAUGUCAACAAUUAGGAAGAAUGUAAUUUAUCUUGUGCCAAAGAGGUCCAACAGUGAAUCCCAAUCAGACAAAUACCACUAAAAUGAUGACAAACACAAAAAAAUCAUCAACCUGUAAGGCAAAAGAGGAUGGGUGGAACUGAGGAGGACAGAUAAUAAAUAGCAGGUAAAUGGAGAUCAAUAUGAUAUUUUAAAAUAUAGGUAAAAUGGACAAGUGGCAACUCACUAAGCAAACUAGAAAAAUCUGAAAUUUUAGUUCACAUUUUGUGGAGGAAAUCAAUCAAGAAAUCAUCCUAUUUAUCUCACAGAAACUAGGGAUUGACAAUAAUGGGUAUAUUGGAAUAUGGGCUAUAGUGG
This 533-nucleotide long non-coding RNA is filed under the name Canis lupus familiaris (dog). RNAcentral's name for it is "lncRNA (ENSCAFG00845015911.1)". The record is from RNAcentral. Lineage: Eukaryota; Metazoa; Chordata; Mammalia; Carnivora; Canidae.